CUUAAAGAAAAUUAUUUUUAAGUAACAUCUGCUCAAUGUAUAUUUAUUAAUAGCCGCAGAAUUUUUACUGUGCUAAGGUAGCAUAAUCAUUAGCUCUUUAAUUAAGGGCUAGAAUGAAAGAUUUAACAUUUAAUAACUUUUUUAUAAAAAUUAAUAAAAUUUAUACUAAAUAUUAAAUAUAUUUAUACAAAAAAUAGACGACAAGACCCUAUUGAACUUUACUUUUGUUUAGCUGGGGAAGCUUUUUAAACAAUAUUUUAAUAAAAUUUAUUAAAUAAAUGACCCAAUAAAAUUUAAUACUUAAUUAAGUUACCAUAGGGAUAACAGCGUAAUUUUAUUUUAAAUUCUUAUUCAAAAAAAAGAUUACGACCUCGAUGUUGAAUUAUAUCCCUAAUAAAUGCAAUAAUUUACCAAAGGGGGUCUUGUUCGACCCUUAAACUUUACA
This 445-nucleotide ribosomal RNA is filed under the name Mimetus sp. GH1186. Its description in RNAcentral is "partial 16S ribosomal RNA". Lineage: Eukaryota; Metazoa; Arthropoda; Arachnida; Araneae; Mimetidae. The record is from RNAcentral.